CACUCAUUAGGAUGUCAGAAACCUAAACCUAAUAGUCGUGACAUCAAAAAGAAAAAACAGAGAGAUAUAAAACAUAAGCCGCAAGCGCCGCCAACUCAUUCCUUACAAAGAGAUCAAGAAAAGAGCCACUUUGGUGAAACACAAAAGUUGUGUUUGAUCCAGAGGUCUGAAUCUGCUGUUACACUGAUGGGGUUCGUAGAUCUCUGCUGUUAGAUUGAUUCAACAUCCUGUCACACCUAAAGUACCUUUGAUGAGACGGUGUCUCGUCUCAACCUCUCUGUUUUUGGUCAUUGGAAUACAUGCGGCUGUUUUCAAGUUGAAACGUCAUGGCUUUGUGAUUUUUCUCUCCAAGCGAAUGGUGAUACUCAAACUAUCCAUAUUCUAUAUAUACUGGGAAAGUCGAGUCUUGAGAUGAUGAAGCUUUGUUUGUUUUCUAGCACCAGUAGCUUGAAACACUUGGUUUUAUGGAUUUUAUCUCAUAUGGAAGAUUUAUGUGGGAUAGUUUGAGUUGAUCAGAUGGUAGAAAUGGGAUAUAGAUCUAUGUUUUAACCUAGAUUUAGUUGAUCGAAUGGUAGAAACAAGGUCAUCAAAUCCUGUAUAGGUAUUCGAGUAUAUGCAAAAGAGUAUGCAAAAGAGUAAGAUGGAUUUUGAUAAAUCAUUAAGAUAGUUGACAUAUAUGAGUAUAUGCAAAAGAGUGAAAUGAAUUCUGAUAUAUUUGUAGUAGUAGACAUAUUCUAGGAUAUGCAAAAGAGUGAUACAUGGGUUGUGAUGAAGGAAAUUAUAAAAGACAAGUGAUUUUGCAAGAAAGAAGAUGCGGAAGCUAAGAUGUGUAUGUGAGUGUGUCUAGGAGAUCAAUACAUGAGUGAUGAGUUCUUCACUUGUAAUUUUCUCUAAUCAUUGUACUGGUCUUUUGGCCGAGUCUUAUGUUGUAUGAAGUUUCAUUAUUUAUAGCAACAUUUCUUUUCUUUUUUUUUGUUCAUUAUUUAUACCUUUCACUGCUCAAUCAAUAACCAGUUUCGUCGCUA
Camelina sativa (false flax) is the source of this 1025-nucleotide long non-coding RNA. RefSeq lists it as uncharacterized. Lineage: Eukaryota; Viridiplantae; Streptophyta; Magnoliopsida; Brassicales; Brassicaceae. The record is from RefSeq and is a predicted model, not a curated record.